This 253-nucleotide ribosomal RNA is filed under the name uncultured bacterium. RNAcentral describes it as "partial 16S ribosomal RNA". It matches the Rfam family "Bacterial small subunit ribosomal RNA", at positions 524 to 776 of the family's 1533-position model. The record is from RNAcentral.
UACGGAGGGAGCUAGCGUUGUUCGGAAUUACUGGGCGUAAAGCGCACGUAGGCGGCUUUGUAAGUCAGGGGUGAAAUCCCGGAGCUCAACUCCGGAACUGCCUUUGAUACUGGCAAUCUUGAGACUGGAAGAGGUUAGUGGAAUUCCCAGUGUAGAGGUGAAAUUCGUAGAUAUUGGGGAGAACACCAGUGGCGAAGGCGGCUAACUGGUCCAGUACUGACGCUGAGGUGCGAAAGCGUGGGGAGCAAACAGG